This 800-nucleotide ribosomal RNA is filed under the name Arthrobacter oryzae. RNAcentral describes it as "bacterial SSU rRNA". It matches the Rfam family "Bacterial small subunit ribosomal RNA", at positions 186 to 989 of the family's 1533-position model. Lineage: Bacteria; Bacillati; Actinomycetota; Actinomycetes; Micrococcales; Micrococcaceae. The record is from RNAcentral.
UCGCAUGGUGGGGGGUGGAAAGCUUUAUUGUGGUUUUGGAUGGACUCGCGGCCUAUCAGCUUAUUGGUGAGGUAAUGGCUUACCAAGGCGACGACGGGUAGCCGGCCUGAGAGGGUGACCGGCCACACUGGGACUGAGACACGGCCCAGACUCCUACGGGAGGCAGCAGUGGGGAAUAUUGCACAAUGGGCGAAAGCCUGAUGCAGCGACGCCGCGUGAGGGAUGACGGCCUUCGGGUUGUAAACCUCUUUCAGUAGGGAAGAAGCGAAAGUGACGGUACCUGCAGAAGAAGCGCCGGCUAACUACGUGCCAGCAGCCGCGGUAAUACGUAGGGCGCAAGCGUUAUCCGGAAUUAUUGGGCGUAAAGAGCUCGUAGGCGGUUUGUCGCGUCUGCCGUGAAAGUCCGGGGCUCAACUCCGGAUCUGCGGUGGGUACGGGCAGACUAGAGUGAUGUAGGGGAGACUGGAAUUCCUGGUGUAGCGGUGAAAUGCGCAGAUAUCAGGAGGAACACCGAUGGCGAAGGCAGGUCUCUGGGCAUUAACUGACGCUGAGGAGCGAAAGCAUGGGGAGCGAACAGGAUUAGAUACCCUGGUAGUCCAUGCCGUAAACGUUGGGCACUAGGUGUGGGGGACAUUCCACGUUUUCCGCGCCGUAGCUAACGCAUUAAGUGCCCCGCCUGGGGGAGUACGGCCGCAAGGCUAAAACUCAAAGGAAUUGACGGGGGGCCCGCACAAGCGGGCGGAGCAUGCGGGAUUAAUUUCGAUGCAACGCGGAAGAACCUUACCAAGGGUUUGACAUGG